CACCGGCAGCUCUAGUGGUAGCAGUUUUUAUUGGGCCUAAAGCGUCCGUAGCCGGUUUAAUAAGUCUCUGGUGAAAUCCUGCAGCUUAACUGUGGGAAUUGCUGGAGAUACUAUUAGACUUGAGAUCGGGAGAGGUUAGAGGUACUCCCAGGGUAGAGGUGAAAUUCUGUAAUCCUGGGAGGACCGCCUGUUGCGAAGGCGUCUGACUGGAACGAUUCUGACGGUGAGGGACGAAAGCUAGGGGCGCGAACCGGAUUAGAUACCCGGGUAGUCCUAGCUGUAAACGAUGCGGACUUGGUGUUGGGGUGGCUUUGAGCUGUCCCAGUGCCGAAGGGAAGCUGUUAAGUCCGCCGCCUGGGAAGUACGGUCGCAAGACUGAAACUUAAGGGAAUUGGCGGGGGAGCGACCACAACGCGUGGAGCCUGCGGUUU
RNAcentral lists this ribosomal RNA (431 nucleotides) under uncultured archaeon. RNAcentral's name for it is "bacterial SSU rRNA". It matches the Rfam family "Archaeal small subunit ribosomal RNA", at positions 474 to 903 of the family's 1478-position model. The record is from RNAcentral.